UACGAAGGACCCGAGCGUUAUCCGGAUUUAUUGGGUUUAAAGGGUGCGUAGGUGGACUAAUAAGUCAGUGGUGAAAGCCUGCAGCUUAACUGCAGAACUGCCAUUGAUACUGUUAGUCUUGAGUACAAUUGAAGUGGGCGGAAUGUGUCAUGUAGCGGUGAAAUGCUUAGAUAUGACACAGAACACCAAUUGCGAAGGCAGCUCACUAAACUGUAACUGACACUGAGGCACGAAAGCGUGGGUAGCAAACAGG
This 253-nucleotide ribosomal RNA is filed under the name uncultured bacterium. RNAcentral's name for it is "partial 16S ribosomal RNA". It matches the Rfam family "Bacterial small subunit ribosomal RNA", at positions 524 to 776 of the family's 1533-position model. The record is from RNAcentral.